UUAGCGGCGGACGGGUGAGUAACACGUGGGCAACCUGCCUGUAAGACUGGGAUAACUUCGGGAAACCGAAGCUAAUACCGGAUAGGAUCUUCUCCUUCAUGGGAGAUGAUUGAAAGAUGGUUUCGGCUAUCACUUACAGAUGGGCCCGCGGUGCAUUAGCUAGUUGGUGAGGUAACGGCUCACCAAGGCAACGAUGCAUAGCCGACCUGAGAGGGUGAUCGGCCACACUGGGACUGAGACACGGCCCAGACUCCUACGGGAGGCAGCAGUAGGGAAUCUUCCGCAAUGGACGAAAGUCUGACGGAGCAACGCCGCGUGAGUGAUGAAGGCUUUCGGGUCGUAAAACUCUGUUGUUAGGGAAGAACAAGUACNAGAGUAACUGCUCGUACCUUGACGGUACCUAACCAGAAAGCCACGGCUAACUACGUGCCAGCAGCCGCGGUAAUACGUAGGUGGCAAGCGUUAUCCGGAAUUAUUGGGCGUAAAGCGCGCGCAGGCGGUUUCUUAAGUCUGAUGUGAAAGCCCACGGCUCAACCGUGGAGGGUCAUUGGAAACUGGGGAACUUGAGUGCAGAAGAGAAAAGCGGAAUUCCACGUGUAGCG
Molecule: ribosomal RNA, 602 nt
Filed under: Bacillus sp. T0-YC6746
Lineage: Bacteria; Bacillati; Bacillota; Bacilli; Caryophanales; Bacillaceae
Description: bacterial SSU rRNA
Rfam family: Bacterial small subunit ribosomal RNA
Source: RNAcentral